CGGAGGCAGCAGUGGGGAAUAUUGGACAAUGGGCGCAAGCCUGAUCCAGCAAUGCCGCGUGAGUGAGGAAGGCCUUAGGGUUGUAAAGCUCUUUCACCCGCGACGAUGAUGACGGUAGCGGGAGAAGAAGCCCCGGCUAACUUCGUGCCAGCAGCCGCGGUAAUACGAAGGGGGCGAGCGUUGUUCGGAUUUACUGGGCGUAAAGGGCGCGCAGGCGGCUACAUUUGUCAGGCGUGAAAGCCCCAGGCUUAACCUGGGAACUGCGUUUGAUACGGUGUGGCUAGAGUUCGGGAGAGGAGAGUGGAAUUCCCAGUGUAGAGGUGAAAUUCGUAGAUAUUGGGAAGAACACCGGUGGCGAAGGCGGCUCUCUGGACCGAUACUGACGCUGAGGCGCGAAAGCGUGGGGAGCAAACAGGAUUAGAAACCCUUGUAGUCCG
RNAcentral lists this ribosomal RNA (437 nucleotides) under uncultured bacterium. Its description in RNAcentral is "bacterial SSU rRNA". It matches the Rfam family "Bacterial small subunit ribosomal RNA", at positions 343 to 797 of the family's 1533-position model. The record is from RNAcentral.